ACAAUUAUCUGUGAGUCGCGAACGGGUGAGUAACGCGUAGGUAACCUAGCUUAUAGCGGGGGAUAACUAUUGGAAACGAUAGCUAAUACCGCAUAAAGGUGGUUGACCCAUGUUAACCAUUUAAAAGGAGCAACAGCUCCACUAUGAGAUGGACCUGCGUUGUAUUAGCUAGUUGGUAAGGUAAAGGCCUACCAACGCGACGAUACAUAGCCGACCUGAGAGGGUGAACGGCCACACUGGGACUGAGACACGGCCCAGACUCCUACGGGAGGCAGCAGUAGGGAAUCUUCGGCAAUGGGGGGAACCCUGACCGAGCAACGCCGCGUGAGUGAAGAAGGUUUUCGGAUCGUAAAGCUCUGUUGUUAGAGAAGAACAGUGAUGGGAGUGGAAAGUCCAUCAUUUGACGGUAACUAACCAGAAAGGGACGGCUAACUACGUGACAGCAGCCGCGGUAAUACGUAGGUCCCGAGCGUUGUCCGGAUUUAUUGGGCGUAAAGCGAGCGCAGGCGGUUUGAUAAGUCUGAAGUUAAAGUCAGUGGCUUAACCAUUGUAUGCUUUGGACACUGUUAAAACUUGAGUGCAGAAGGGGAGAGUGGAAUUCCAUGUGUAGCGGUGAAAUGCGUAGAUAUAUGG
Molecule: ribosomal RNA, 633 nt
Filed under: uncultured Streptococcaceae bacterium
Lineage: Bacteria; Bacillati; Bacillota; Bacilli; Lactobacillales; Streptococcaceae
Description: SSU rRNA
Rfam family: Bacterial small subunit ribosomal RNA
Source: RNAcentral